Schizosaccharomyces pombe (fission yeast) is the source of this 2522-nucleotide non-coding RNA. NCBI's taxonomy places the organism in Eukaryota, Fungi, Ascomycota, Schizosaccharomycetes, Schizosaccharomycetales, Schizosaccharomycetaceae. The record is from the annotation of a GenBank genome assembly.
CAAUAAACCAUUUGUGUAUACAUUCUACUGGAAAAUAAAGUCAAAAUCCACCAACCUUGAGAAUAAUGAGCUCGAAUUAAAGUAUAAGUAAAAGAGACAAAGCAGCUUAGCAGAUUGAGUACGAAUCAUUCAGCGGGUUUGGCAAAUCAUGAAUGUCCGUUAUAAAUUUUAACGUAGAUAACUUAAGGAGGUUAAAUGUGUGACAAUUAAAAGAAUAGAAAACCAUGAAAAAAUCAUAAGUCAAUAACGAAUGUUACUGAGAAGUUGGUCGGGCCUUUUGAAGCAAAUGCAGCAAGUAUUGAGUAACCGCUCGAUAGUGUUGCUCCAUCAUGUCCGAAGUUUCAGUAUGUUCACUUUGCAUAAGUCGUCCAUAUCUUCUUUUAGCACGCUUUGCCUUUUUCCAGCACUCAUUACUAGAACUCACAAACACGAGUGAAUGACGAUAAUACCACGUUGGAAGAUCUUCCUCUGAUGCCGUUUUAAGACCCACCAAAGGUUCAGUGCCAAGGAAAUUCACCAUACACUUAACUCUGUCUGACACAUUCCUGGAAGAUGCCAAAUUAACCAAUCCAUGUACCGCUUUGCCUCCACCGAUGAAAAAAAUAUUUUUUGAAAUCGACAACUCAACAUAAUUAUCCCAUACAUAAAGACAAAGUUCUUUCACUUCAGAAAGAAUGUCAACCGGUGCAUUUUCACCGUCCGUAACCACUUCAGGUAUAUUUAUGUCGAUAAGCCCCCAGUCCUGUUGCAUAGCCCAUUCAACAUAAAGGCUCACGGGAUCUACUAAAAGCGAAUCAUUUAAAUUCAAAACGUUCGUUUCACUAGUUCCAUUACCCAGGACUCUAGGAGAUUCAUGGACAAUAACGAGAAGGUUAUCUUUUUGAAAGAAAUUGCUAGAGCACAGUACUUGAUUGUUGAAUACAUUGGAAACGGAAUCCCUUAGUAUUGGCAUAUUGGUAAUUUUCCAGUCUUCGAAAAGUUUUUUAGCUUGAUAAGUUCGAAUAACAUCAUGUAAUCGAUCUACAUGGGCAUCCUUAGGAUUUGCGUCGAAGUGUUUCGGCCUCAUACAUCUCCAGUAUUGGGAUUGUAUUUUGGUUACAUGGUUGAUGGUAGCAACGGCCUGUGGACAUGCAUAUGUUGUAUGCAAUCGUCCAGGAGGAAUUCCCAACAAACUUUGGGCUACAGCUAAGGCUGAUGUGCUUAUAGAAUCCAAAUUAUAACCUCCCUCAAGGGAGAUAAAAACUUUCCCAUCUGCUAAUCCCAUUAACAUUUGUGUCAUAUGAGCAUAGGCAGCUGGAGUUAACAAGAAUUGACCAAUGUGAUCUCCUGCAGCAGCAUCAAAGCCGCAACUUACAAUAACUAAAUCUGGAUCAAAUUCAUAAGCAACAGGCAUUACGACGCGCUGAAAAGCGUAUAUAUAAUCACCAUCUCCCAUGCCAGCACAACUCCAAGGAAUAUUUACAGUUCUACCCAAUCCCGGGCCCUCUCCACAAUUUUCUGCACACCCAUAAUUGGUGCCAGGAUAGAAACGACCAUUUUCAUAUCGAUGCAAAGAAACGUAUAGAACAUUUGGAUCGUCAUAAAAAGCCAUUUGCGUACCAUUUCCAUGGUGUAUAUCCCAGUCGACAAUCAAUACUCUUUUUAUUUUAUCCGGAAAGCGUUGUAGCAUACUCCUUGCGGUUACAGAAACAUUGUUGAAUAAACAAAAGCCACCAGGUUUAUGGGGUUCUGCAUGAUGGCCAGGAGGGCGAACAACUGCGAAGGCAUUUUUUACUUGACCAGUUACGACAGCCGUACAUGUUUCAAUUGCGCUACCACAAGCCAAUCGAGCACAAAACGCACUUUCGUUAUUAUAGUAUAGAGAAUCACUGAUUUUUUCGAGAUUGGCCAAAUCCUCAUGAGACAUUUUUUCGGUAUUAGUAACCCUAUCAUACAUUUCCUGUGAAUGAACUUGUAAUAACUCUUCUAAAGUAGCUUCUCUAGCCGGAAUCCGUAAAAAUACAUCUGACGGACUCGGCACAUUAGAUACAUAACCGGCCUUCUUUAUAGCUUCAAAAACACGAAGGACGCGUCUUGGAUCUUCAGGAUGGUCAUCCACUUCACUUAGAGUGGCAUGGAAUCUCAUUCGAGGAUCAUAGCAUAAUCCAGAUUUUUUCAAGAUUUGCGACAUUUCAUGGGAUUCGUUAUUUAAUGUAUUUUCACUUCCAGACAUUGGUUUAUUGUUUGUCAAAAGAAUAGACCAUGGAGUUACCGUGUUUACAGCAUCAUCGGAUGGUUUUACAGAAGUAGAUGCACCAUCAGAAUUAGAGGCCAGCAUUCGUUUUCUAUCGCCCUUAAAAAGGUCAAUCAAUUAAUAAAUUAAUAAAAAAAUCUCCUAUUAAACAACUCCCUCAUAAAACUGUCGAAACACUUUUUGAAGCGCGGCUCACUCGAUAUAGGUAGUUUUGGUCGUCAAAACUGUUGCUGGUACUUCUAAGACAUAAGUAUAGAGGAGCAAUGAGAGAAUAUAAUCUCAACCAUGC